UGAAGAAAGACGUGCGGAUCCUGCUGGUA
RNAcentral lists this non-coding RNA (29 nucleotides) under Homo sapiens (human). The record is from RNAcentral. Lineage: Eukaryota; Metazoa; Chordata; Mammalia; Primates; Hominidae.